This 429-nucleotide ribosomal RNA is filed under the name Bacteroidota bacterium. Its description in RNAcentral is "Bacteroidetes bacterium partial 16S ribosomal RNA". It matches the Rfam family "Bacterial small subunit ribosomal RNA", at positions 355 to 776 of the family's 1533-position model. The record is from RNAcentral. Lineage: Bacteria; Pseudomonadati; Bacteroidota.
UAGGGAAUCUUCGGCAAUGGGGGGAACCCUGACCGAGCAACGCCGCGUGAGUGAAGAAGGUUUUCGGAUCGUAAAGCUCUGUUGUUAAGGAAGAACGAGUGUGAGAAUGGAAAGUUCAUGCUGUGACGGUACUUAACCAGAAAGGGACGGCUAACUACGUGCCAGCAGCCGCGGUAAUACGUAGGUCCCGAGCGUUGUCCGGAUUUAUUGGGCGUAAAGCGAGCGCAGGCGGUUAGAUAAGUCUGAAGUUAAAGGCAGUGGCUCAACCAUUGUAGGCUUUGGAAACUGGUUAACUUGAGUGCAGAAGGGGAGAGUGGAAUUCCAUGUGUAGCGGUGAAAUGCGUAGGUAUAUGGAGGAACACCGGUGGCGAAAGCGACUCUCUGGUCUGUAACUGACGCUGAAGCUCGAAAGCGUGGGGAGCGAACAGG